This 83-nucleotide microRNA precursor is filed under the name Cercocebus atys (sooty mangabey). Its description in RNAcentral is "miRNA (ENSCATG00000010589.1)". The record is from RNAcentral. Lineage: Eukaryota; Metazoa; Chordata; Mammalia; Primates; Cercopithecidae.
AUAUUAGGUUGGUGCAAAAGUAAUUGUGAUUUCUGCCACUUUUAAUGGCAAAAAACACAAUUACUUUUGCACCAGCCUAAUAA